Glycine soja is the source of this 1007-nucleotide long non-coding RNA. RefSeq lists it as uncharacterized. NCBI's taxonomy places the organism in Eukaryota, Viridiplantae, Streptophyta, Magnoliopsida, Fabales, Fabaceae. The transcript is spliced from 3 exons. The record is from RefSeq and is a predicted model, not a curated record.
AUUCAAUUUAGGCAGAGGGAGUGUAGGAUGUGUUAAAGGUCUCAACUCAGUAAUGAUGGUCUUAUUUCAGGGAACAUAUCUGCAUAACAAAGAAAUGAAAGCUGCAAUAGGGCCUUGAACAUGCCAUUCUUGGCACUGAUUAAUAUGUGGUGAAGCCUGAUGAUAAUUUGGAAGAAGUUAAAGAAGCAUCCAUGGAAUAUAUGCUGUUAGUCAUGAGCAUGAUUCACAGAAUCAGUAAGAGUGUUUUAAGUACAAGUAGGAUAAUGACAUUAACCUUUUCCAUGGGACUCUCCAGUCUUUAGCUAAAAUGGCUAACAAGUUUGUGGUUAGCAGAGGAUUGGAAAAAAAAAUGGACCCCGACCUCUGCAGUGUUUUUCUCUUAUUUCUGAUUCUGACUAUUCUGAAGAUGUAGAUAAAUUUAAGAUUGUAUUAUGAUUUUGUGUACGAGCUUAUUGGUUUCUUAUUUUUGAAGAAGCAACCAAUGUCAUCUUUGGCCUUGCUCUGGGAUACAAGUCUAUCAUUAUUCCUAUUUUUGCCAUUGCAAUCAGCAUUUUUGUGAGUUUUACUUUUGCUGCAAUGUAUGGCAUUGCUAUGGCUGCCCUUGGGAUGCUGAGCACCAUUGCGACAGGGUUGGCUAUUGAUGCCUAUGGGCCAAUCAGUGACAAUGCAGGAGGUAUUGCUGAGAUGGCAGGCAUGAGCCAUUGUAUUCGUGAGAGAACUGAUGCCCUUGAUGCUGCUGGCAACACUACUGCUGCCAUACGCAAGGGAUUUUGUCAAAAGGCACCACGUGGGUACCUGCCAAUAGUAACUCUCAAACUCGGGCCAUGUAUAGGCCCAAAAUGUAAGCCGUAACUCGUUAAGAGAAGUUCACUAUAAAAUGGGAAGAAAGCAGAAUUAGGGUUUUAUAUCGUGCAUAGUGUGGUAGCAGCAGCUGAGCUUGUUUCCGUUGCCGCUUCACCCACCGUAGCAACCAUGGUAUCCGAACGAACUUGGUCCUCUUAGCUCUU